CACCACUACUCUGCCAGACCCUCUCUCAUACGCUCCUCCCCAAAACGGCCAGACCACCACCUUCAUGCAGCCCUUUUCUCCCUCAAAUAACAGCCAAACAAAAAGAUUUUUGUCUGAUUCCAUGAUGACACGUGUUGACCCCAGAUUGGCCUUCAAGAGCAUCCAUGAUGGCCAAUCGGAGAGUGACACGUGGCCAAAUGUGC
RNAcentral lists this long non-coding RNA (203 nucleotides) under Vitis vinifera (wine grape). RNAcentral describes it as "long non-coding RNA (VVIN_LNC000483)". The record is from RNAcentral. Lineage: Eukaryota; Viridiplantae; Streptophyta; Magnoliopsida; Vitales; Vitaceae.